This is a long non-coding RNA of Arachis stenosperma, 1967 nucleotides long. RefSeq lists it as uncharacterized. The record is from RefSeq and is a predicted model, not a curated record. The transcript is spliced from 3 exons. Lineage: Eukaryota; Viridiplantae; Streptophyta; Magnoliopsida; Fabales; Fabaceae.
UGUUUUCAAUUUUCAUCAUCCUUUUCUGAUUUAUUCUUUCUCUGAAUUUUCGGUCUCCUUUUCUUCAUGCAUUGCCAUAAGCAUAUCGUAGCUGCAUUAUGUUGCGGGUGAAAGAAACGAGAACAUUGCCACUAGGGUUCUUUUUUCUCUGCAUUUCGUGAUGCCCUUGGUAAUGUGAAGCAGAACGGUGGCAGAGAAGAAGCUAUCCAUGUAGUGAAAGAACAAACACUGCAUCACCUCUCUCGCCUCUUCAAGGAUUUCAAGGCCUCUGCUAUCGCUACAUAAUGAAAUUGGAAUGGAUCCACUAGUCAUUAGAGUAAGGGCAGUGCCUGGGCUUGUUGCUGCGGAUAACUUUGCUCUUUGGUCAGUGUUAAUUCAAAAUUUGGCAAAAAUUGGAUAUGAAGGGAAGAACGUGUACAUGGCUUCCUAUGAUUGGAAACUUUCUUUCGAAAAUACUCAGGUUCAAUUAUUAUUUCAAGAGUAAACCUACAAUUAUAAUCUCUGGAGAGGUACAAAGAUUGAUGGACGCUAGCGAUAGUUAGACUUGUUGGAGACCCAAUACUGAAGGCAUCCUGACUCUUGAGGUUGGUGCAGUUUCUUUUUUUCUUUUUCUUUUUUUACUUUAGUCAUGAUUUCUCAUUGUUCAUUUUCUGUGCAUAUUAAAUAAAAAAUGUUUUGCUCCUUUAAAAAGUCAUUCAUAAAAAUUUAUUUCCACAUUGGAAUUUGGAAAGAAUGAUGGAUAUCAAUGUGGCUAGAAUCAUUUUUGAGAUAAGCAUAAUGGUUGAUCUUACGAGCAUGGUAGAACAGUGGGAUUAUAUUCAUGACUCUUUUGAAUAUGUUAAAAGAAAUGCUAUACACUCAAAUGUUUGAAUGUUAAGAAGCAUGGUAUGCAUGUCAUUCAUAACACGGUCUAUGUAGAACUUUGUUGCAAAGGAUUUUACAUAGAUGGUUUCAAGUCCGGAAAAAAGAGGAGGAUGAAUGAUGGACCCAAUUUAUGAUCUUAAAAAUUGAGAUAUGACAUCUUGGACCCAAUUUGAAAUAAAGGAGGAUGAAAUACAUUGCUUUUAUGAUAUGAAAAAAAUGUGGCAUGAUGCACAUAAUCCGAUUGAUCUAAAAAGAUAGUUAUGAUCUCAAAGAUUGAGAUAUGACAUACUUGGACCCAAUUUAAAAUAAAGGAGGAUGGUAUACGUUGUUUUUAUGAUAUGAGAAGGCGGCGUGAUGUACUUGAUCUAAUUGAUCCAAAACGAUAGGUUUAAAGAUCUCAAAAAUUGAGAUCUAACAUACUUGGACCCAAUUUGAAAUAAAGGAGAAUGCUAUACGUUGCUUUUAUAAUAUGAGAACAAGGUGGCAUGAUGUACUUAACCCAAUUGAUCCAAAACGAUAGCUUUUAUGAUCUCAAAGAUUGAGAUAUGGCAUAACAAUUUGAAGUAAAGGAGGAUGGUAUUGUUUUUAUGAUACGAGAAGAAGCUGGAAUGAUGUACUUGACCCAGUUGAUCUAAAAAGAUGGCUUUUAUGAUCUUAAAGAUUGAGCGAUGACAUACUUGAACCCAAUUUUAAUACAUUGCUUUUGAUAAAAAAAUGAUAGCUUUUAUGAUCUCAAAAUUUGAGAAAUGACAUACUUGACCCAAUACGAAAUAAAGAAAGAUGGUAUAUGUUGCUUUUAUGAUAUGAGAAGAUGGCAUGAUGUACUUAACCAAAUUGAUUCAAAAGUUAGUUUUUAUGAUCUUAAAAAUUAAGAGACGAUGUACUUGGACCCAAUUUUAAAUUAAUGAAAUUAAAAAGGAUGGUAAAUGUUGCUUUUAUGAUACGAGAAGAAGGUAGCCUGAUGUUCACGAUCCAAUUGAUCCAAAAUGAUAGCUUUUAUGAUCUCAAUAGUGGCGUGAUGUACUUGACCCAAUUGAUCCAAAACGAUAACUUUUAUGAUCUCAAAGAUUGAGACAUGUCAUACUUACACCUAAUAUGAAGUA